UAUUAAAGUUGUUGCAGUUAAAAAGCUCGUAGUUGGAUUUCUGGUAGGAGCGACCGGUCGGGCAUUGAUUUGUCUGCACUGGAGUCGGUUCUUGCCAUCCUCUUGGAAAGUGCGUAUGGCAUUAAGUUGUCGUGCGUAUGAUCCAGGUCUUUUACUGUGAAAAAAUUAGAGUGUUUAAAGCAGGCCUUCGCCUUGAAUACAUUAGCAUGGAAUAAUAAGAUAGGACUUGGGUCUAUUUUGUUGGUUUGCAGACCGAAGUAAUGAUUAAUAGGGAUAGUUGGGGGUAUUUAUAUUCCGAUGUCAGAGGUGAAAUUCUUAGAUUUUCGGAAGAUAAACUUAUGCGAAAGCAUUUACCAAGGAUGUUUUCAUUAAUCAAGAACGAAAGUUAGGGGAUCGAAGAUGAUUAGAUACCAUCGUAGUCUUAACCAUAAACUAUGCCGACUCAGGAUUGGUGAACGUUGAUUUAAUGACUUCAUCAGCACUGUAUGAGAAAUCAAAGUCUUUGGGUUCCGGGGGGAGUAUGGUCGCAAGGCUGAAACUUAAAGGAAU
RNAcentral lists this ribosomal RNA (549 nucleotides) under uncultured marine eukaryote. RNAcentral's name for it is "SSU rRNA". It matches the Rfam family "Eukaryotic small subunit ribosomal RNA", at positions 602 to 1153 of the family's 1831-position model. RNAcentral also lists the same sequence under 1 other name. The record is from RNAcentral.